This 71-nucleotide transfer RNA is filed under the name Gomphiocephalus hodgsoni. RNAcentral's name for it is "tRNA-Ile". Lineage: Eukaryota; Metazoa; Arthropoda; Collembola; Poduromorpha; Hypogastruridae. The record is from RNAcentral.
AAUAGUGUGCCUGAAAAUUAAGGAUUAUUCUGAUGGAGUAAAUAAUGCAAUAAUAAUUUAUGCCACUAUUA